RNAcentral lists this ribosomal RNA (485 nucleotides) under uncultured bacterium. RNAcentral describes it as "bacterial SSU rRNA". It matches the Rfam family "Bacterial small subunit ribosomal RNA", at positions 355 to 833 of the family's 1533-position model. The record is from RNAcentral.
UAGGGAAUCUUCCGCAAUGGGCGAAAGCCUGACGGAGCAACGCCGCGUGAGUGAUGAAGGUUUUCGGAUCGUAAAGCUCUGUUGCCAGGGAAGAACGUUCUCUAGAGUAACUGCUAGAGAAGUGACGGUACCUGAGAAGAAAGCCCCGGCUAACUACGUGCCAGCAGCCGCGGUAAUACGUAGGGGGCAAGCGUUGUCCGGAAUUAUUGGGCGUAAAGCGCGCGCAGGCGGCGAUUUAAGUCUGGUGUUUAAACCAUGGGCUCAACCUGUGGUCGCAUCGGAAACUGGAUGGCUUGAGUGCAGAAGAGGAAAGUGGAAUUCCACGUGUAGCGGUGAAAUGCGUAGAGAUGUGGAGGAACACCAGUGGCGAAGGCGACUUUCUGGGCUGUAACUGACGCUGAGGCGCGAAAGCGUGGGGAGCAAACAGGAUUAGAUACCCUGGUAGUCCACGCCGUAAACGAUGAGUGCUAGGUGUUAGGGGUUUC